This 88-nucleotide transfer RNA is filed under the name Verrucomicrobiota bacterium. RNAcentral's name for it is "tRNA-Ser". It matches the Rfam family "tRNA". From Rfam's summary of the family: Transfer RNA (tRNA) molecules are approximately 80 nucleotides in length. Their secondary structure includes four short double-helical elements and three loops (D, anti-codon, and T loops). Lineage: Bacteria; Pseudomonadati; Verrucomicrobiota. The record is from RNAcentral.
GGAGGGGUGGUCGAGCGGUUGAUGGCUCCAGUCUUGAAAACUGGCAGGGUGAAAGCCCUCGUGGGUUCGAAUCCCACCCCCUCCGCCA